This 497-nucleotide ribosomal RNA is filed under the name uncultured bacterium. Its description in RNAcentral is "partial 16S ribosomal RNA". It matches the Rfam family "Bacterial small subunit ribosomal RNA", at positions 28 to 507 of the family's 1533-position model. The record is from RNAcentral.
GAUGAACGCUGGCGGCGUGCCUAAUACAUGCAAGUCGAGCGAACAGACGAGGAGCUUGCUCCUCUGACGUUAGCAGCGGACGGGUGAGUAACACGUGGAUAACCUACCUAUAAGACUGGGAUAACUUCGGGAAACCGGAGCUAAUACCGGAUAAUAUAUUGAACCGCAUGGUUCAAUAGUGAAAGACGGUUUUGCUGUCACUUAUAGAUGGAUCCGCGCCGCAUUAGCUAGUUGGUAAGGUAACGGCUUACCAAGGCGACGAUGCGUAGCCGACCUGAGAGGGUGAUCGGCCACACUGGAACUGAGACACGGUCCAGACUCCUACGGGAGGCAGCAGUAGGGAAUCUUCCGCAAUGGGCGAAAGCCUGACGGAGCAACGCCGCGUGAGUGAUGAAGGUCUUCGGAUCGUAAAACUCUGUUAUUAGGGAAGAACAAAUGUGUAAGUAACUAUGCACGUCUUGACGGUACCUAACCAGAAAGCCACGGCUAACUACGUG